AACCAUAGACCGCACAAAAUAGGAGGGCAUGGAAGGUGACACACCCCGUCCCGAAGGAGGGCAUGCUGGCCGUCACGUGAGAGUGACGUAACCAUUUGCACAGUACGGAAGCUUUAAGAUACAAUUUAAAUUGAUACACCCGAAGGUGAGUCCUAAUUUUGUCCAAUCUGUCAGAACACCGUCGAAUUCCUCGUAGUCACCACACCUUUGUGAUUCCUGAACCUGGAGGGGCGCAAAACCAAAAUUGAGUGGGUCAGUAAAACAAUUCUUUUCCAAAUCCAAACAUUUCUCAAAACGUUGUAACCCCUCUCCGUAAAACCUGUAUACUUUCCCAGAAAUGUAAAAUAUAAAUAUACAUAUAUAUUCUCAAAACUUCAUUUUUACUAUCUCAACAUUAUCUCUUUAUCAAUCAUGCCAUGCCAUGUCAUCUCAACAUUUCUCAUAUUAAUUAUGCCAUGCCACAUCAUCUCAACAGUAAUAAGGUAUGAAUGCAUCAACAUAAUCAUAUCAGGUGCAAGAAAGUAAUCAACCGUAGGCCCUCUAAUAGCCCUAUACGGUUGAACCUAGAGCUCAAAAUCUAUCAUUAUCACUCUACCGGAGUCACCUCUGUGACCCGUCCGGCCUUCUGCACACAAGUUACGCUCUAGUGCUUCUCAUAAAUCAUCUGUGCACAUAAUCUAAGGUCACCCACCAGUCGGAAUCUCACUAACACUCUCGCGACUGGUCUGUCGUACCCACUCCGCGUGGACUGUACGACUAGCAUCUACUUGGAUCCAAGGCGAGCGUGCGAUGCGGUGAAUACUAUAAGCACUAAAACCAUGGUGCAGGAUUUGAGCUCAAUAUAUAUCAUCAUCAUCAUAACAGUAAUUAAAUACUCAUCUGUGCGUCCACCGCACCAUUUCAUACAUAUGCAUCAUAAAUCAAUUCUUACCUGUGCGUCCACCGCACCAAUUCAUACAUAUGCAUCAUAAAUCAAUUCUUACCUGUGCGUCCACCGCACCAAUUCAUACAUAUGCAUCAUAUAUUAAUUCAUGCAUGGCAUUUCAACUCACAUUUCUAUAUACUUUUCAUAUCAAUUCUAUGCAUGGUAUUUCACUUCCCGUUUUUCCACAUAACUCAUAUGCAUUUCAUUUUAAACAUAUUUUCAUGCAUUUUCAAUUUCUGGGAAAACGUUAAGUAUAUAUAUAUAUAUACGGAAAACAAAACUGCCCACUCACCUGGAGUUCAUCCAACAACUCCCUAGCACCACACAUCAAGGCGUCACGACGAUCGCCGCCUAGAAUAGUAAUCAAAUCCAACCUCAGAAUUCAUAUCGAUAGAAUAUUUAACUUAUAUAAAAUACGUCACUACGUAGUUCGAUCCGGAAGAUCUGCCACUCAGAUUUUAAAUCCAUAACUUCCAGAGGUCCACAAUAUAUCUCUAGGACAACAUCCUAAAAUUUCAUUACCAUCCAACGGUCGGAUCUCCGUCAAUUUCCAAAACUAAGUGACGGUUAACAUUUUAUAUUAUGGACUUACAAUUCCAAUUCCGGAAGAUCCGUAACUCGGAUUCCCAAUCCAUAAGUUCCAAUAAUCCUCAAAUAUUACGUACUAUAACGUAUCAAAGUUUGGUGAUGAUCCAACGGUCGGAUCAUCAAUUCACAUUUUCACCUAAAUGUGAAAACUAUAAAACGUUAUUUGAACACCUAACCAACAAUCUUCAAUAACUUUCUCAUACGGUGUUCAAUUUAGGUAUAUGAAUAUACCACAGUGAUCUACUCGACGUCACGGACGUCGACAUAUUUUUAAAAUAAUUUUAUUUUUAUUUUUUAUUUUUACUGUAGCACCUUCUUCUUCCUUGGGUCGCCGGACUGGUUUUUCCGGCGGCCGUUUUCUGAACAGUUUUUCAAAUUGCCAUAACUUUGUCAUUUCUCAACGAAAUCAAGUGAUUCAAAAACGAAAGUUGUAGCCCUUGAAGAGACAAAGAGAAUGGUACCUUGCACAACACCUAGUUCGCCGUGGUUUGGCCGGAAACUGCCUCGAAAGCCUCGGAGGUCGCCGGAAACUGGGUAUUUUUCAAAUGAGUAUAACUUCUUCAAUACUCAACGAAAUUGAGUGAAACAAAAAGGAAAGUUGUAGUACUUGACGAGACGAAGAGAUUGAUACCUACCUCGACUCCUAACUCGCCGGGGAUUCGCCGGAAAAAGCCUCGAAAGCUCCGGCCAAAUUUUGAACUUGUCGAUCUCCGUGUUCUUACGUCCAAAAACUUCCAACGAAGCACUCCGAGCUUCCUUGGGACCUCACUAAGCUCACUAUGAGCUUGGAUUGUCCUAAAAAUCAACCAAUUCAAAGCUCAUGAACAGUACACUUUCAUGGGGAGUUUAGAAUCUAGGUUUUCCGAAGUAAAACUUACCUGAAAUGGAUACCAACGUGAUCGUGAAGUCCUCAGGAUUCCAAUGGUGGUCUCAAACUUGACGUUGGUAUAGAUUUAGGGUGGUUUUGGUGGUGGUCCGUGUGAGUUCGAAGGAGAGAGAGACAGAGAGAGUGAGAAAUCGUGAAGGAGGAGAGAGAAAGACAGUGAACGGGAAAUGAGGAGGGUUUUGAGGGAUGUGGGGAUCCCACGUGGUCCUUAUUCCAAUCUCCAAACACCAAACUUUAACAUUUUAACCUAAAAAUCUAAGUUCCAUCCUUAUUAAAUUCCAUUUUAUUUUUCAAACUUAGGAACCUAGAUAAUUAGCAACCUGAGCUUCACAAAUUUAGUAUUUCUUAAGGGCAAUUUCGUCCAUUCACAGCCACGAAUAUAAUAAUUUGGAACGGGCUGUGACAAUCUUCCCUCCUUAUAGAAUUUCGUCCCCGAAAUUCCAGCAACCAACCAAUUCAUCAACACUUAUACCAACCUCGGUAAGUUUCUUUCAUCCGAUUCUUUUUCUCCCACGUAAUUUUCUUCCACUGAAUGAUUCCUUCACAAAACUUUUACCAUUUACUCUAUCUUAACUCUCAGGACCUUCUUUUUCCAAUCCAAAUUCUACUUUUCUAAGGUGAACACUUCUAAAAUAUAAAACCAUCUUAUGAUCAACGUCACUUAUAAUAUUCAAUUGGUAGUAACCAGAUCUCAAUUCAAUCUUUGAAUCUUCGCAAUUACUUUUGAGUUGGUUAAAUAAACAUCAGUACAUCACCAUGGAUAACGGUUCUCAAUCGUUACCCGACUCCAUUAUCUAUAAUCAAGGAAUAGUCUUUAAAGUCCAUUUUCUUUCUCACCCACAAACUGGUGCUCCUCAACAGUGUUGUACUAGGUUGAAUAAAACUUUUAUCAACCAAUUCUCUCAACUGAAUUUCCAAUUCCCUUAACUCAUCAUGAACCAAUCUUUAACAUAAAUUUAUACCUGGCAACAAAUCAAUAAUGAACCUCAUAUCUCUGCCUGAAGACAAUCCAGGUAUACUUUCAGAGAAGACAUCAAGAAAAGUCUAACUCUUUCGACAUUAUUCACACUACUCCAAACAACAUCAUUUAGCACCACAUGAGCUAAGUAUUUUUGACAGCCUUUCGAAAACAAUCUCUUUGCUCUCACAGCAUAAAUAAUGGCUGAACUCAAUCCACUUUGCAUACUUACAAAAGUAAUCUCUGUUCAUCCAGAUCGAUGGAAAGUGACUGGUUUCCCGUAACAAUCCAUUUAGUCACAAUUAUAACCAACCACUCUAAUGGAAAUAAUUUAACCGACACAAUACAUACUUUAUUAAUACUGAACAUUCUAAAUAAGUACAACACUAACAUAAAAUAACCUACCGGGUUGCUUGCUUAACGAAUCCACGAAUGAGUUAUUAAUAUUACGGUCUGCAGCCCGCAAUACUGAUAAAUCAUCGUUGUCUCGAUAAGUAGGCAACCACUCACAAAGAUAUAACAUUACUAUUUUGUCACUCAAUGCAAAAUACAUACACUCGUCUCAACUACAUUUAUUUACCACUCUCUAGGUAAUAUCAUACAUAAUAAGAAAUAUAUCAGCCGAAGUCAACUAGAAUGACCAAUACGGUUGAUUCAACUCUUAUCUCAAUAAUACGUCGGCCGGAUCCACUCCGCGUGGUCGGCACGGCCGAGCCUAUAACUCACCAAUUUCUCAUAUGUCAGUCAAAUCCAUUUCUCAUGGUCCGUACGGCUGAACAUAUAACUCAUCAAAUAUCUCUGUACUCACGGUCAAUCCGACCAAACUACUAAAUCCAUAACUCUGCUGAAUCGACACUAUGAUUUCAUGGAAAAUUGUUGAGUACAACUGAUUCUAGGGACGAUUCACAACUCUGUGUCCCUUCUGUUCACAUAAACACAUUCAUUAAUUUCACAUUUCCCAAAGUGUUAAUUUUGUACAUGCUGCACAAAGUACAUUUCCUUUACUCGAGACACCUUGUCUCAAAUAUCGGGGAUUACCAGUAUAUCCAUCACUUUUAUUCUGACCAGCGACAUUAAAACCUCAGCUGGAAAAAUUAACUCUAGCUUCACUUCUUUCGAAGCUCUGAAUCUUUCUAUAUCCUUGAUAUGACGAAUCAUUAACUUUAUCGUCUUCUUUUAAUUCCCAUUCUUUUCUUAUUCUUCUUUAUUCUCGUUGCUCAUGUUCUCAGAGUCCUCAAGGCUCAACAACAUCUAGCAUACUCCUGAUAAGAACUACAAUGGAUAGUGGUCACCCAAAAUACCACUUCCCUUUUUGCCACCCAGCUUAAAACAACAUAACACCUCCACCAAAUUAACAACAAUAUCUGGAUGGAACGAGGCAAGUCUGAAAACUUUCUAUAAUAUCCCUCGAUCAUCACCUUCCUUGUCUCAUAUUUGUAAACUCUUGUUUACUACCAUCAAUAAAUGCCGGAGGGAUAAACUUUUCCUUAAAAAAUUUUUAAAUCGGCUGAUUCCUCUGGUGACAACAAUUAACAUUCCUGUUUCCACCAGGAUGCAAAUUCAUACCCAAAACCAGGUAGUCGUCUCGACCCACCUGUCAGAAGGAAAUUUCCUUUGACUUGCAUAAUCUGAAACAUCUUUUCCAAUUGGUUAAACCGUCACUCCGCUCCCUCAGGUUCAUCAUUUCAUAAGGUGAUUCAAAUUCAACUCAUAACCCGUCUUAAAAUGUCCAUUUUGAUAAUAUACUGAAUCACCAUAAUCAUAGUUUCCCCCAAACCGCUAAAUCAGGGAGACUAAAUUCCUCUAACUACGUGGUUUGCUACGAGGCGGUGUAGUUCUGACAGAAUUCACUAUAAACUUCUCAAGAUGUCCAAGAUUGCAACCAUGCUCUGAUACCAACUGACACACCCCGUCCCGAAGGAGGGCAUGCUGGCCGUCACGUGAGAGUGACGUAACCAUUUGCACAGUACGGAAGCUUUAAGAUACAAUUUAAAUUGAUACACCCGAAGGUGAGUCCUAAUUUUGUCCAAUCUGUCAGAACACCGUCGAAUUCCUCGUAGUCACCACACCUUUGUGAUUCCUGAACCUGGAGGGGCGCAAAACCAAAAUUGAGUGGGUCAGUAAAACAAUUCUUUUCCAAAUCCAAACAUUUCUCAAAACGUUGUAACCCCUCUCCGUAAAACCUGUAUACUUUCCCAGAAAUGUAAAAUAUAAAUAUACAUAUAUAUUCUCAAAACUUCAUUUUUACUAUCUCAACAUUAUCUCUUUAUCAAUCAUGCCAUGCCAUGUCAUCUCAACAUUUCUCAUAUUAAUUAUGCCAUGCCACAUCAUCUCAACAGUAAUAAGGUAUGAAUGCAUCAACAUAAUCAUAUCAGGUGCAAGAAAGUAAUCAACCGUAGGCCCUCUAAUAGCCCUAUACGGUUGAACCUAGAGCUCAAAAUCUAUCAUUAUCACUCUACCGGAGUCACCUCUGUGACCCGUCCGGCCUUCUGCACACAAGUUACGCUCUAGUGCUUCUCAUAAAUCAUCUGUGCACAUAAUCUAAGGUCACCCACCAGUCGGAAUCUCACUAACACUCUCGCGACUGGUCUGUCGUACCCACUCCGCGUGGACUGUACGACUAGCAUCUACUUGGAUCCAAGGCGAGCGUGCGAUGCGGUGAAUACUAUAAGCACUAAACCAUGGUGCAGGAUUUGAGCUCAAUAUAUAUCAUCAUCAUCAUAACAGUAAUUAAAUACUCAUCUGUGCGUCCACCGCACCAUUUCAUACAUAUGCAUCAUAAAUCAAUUCUUACCUGUGCGUCCACCGCACCAAUUCAUACAUAUGCAUCAUAAAUCAAUUCUUACCUGUGCGUCCACCGCACCAAUUCAUACAUAUGCAUCAUAUAUUAAUUCAUGCAUGGCAUUUCAACUCACAUUUCUAUAUACUUUUCAUAUCAAUUCUAUGCAUGGUAUUUCACUUCCCGUUUUUCCACAUAACUCAUAUGCAUUUCAUUUUAAACAUAUUUUCAUGCAUUUUCAAUUUCUGGGGAAAACGUUAAGUAUAUAUAUAUAUACGGAAAACAAAACUGCCCACUCACCUGGAGUUCAUCCAACAACUCCCUAGCACCACACAUCAAGGCGUCACGACGAUCGCCGCCUAGAAUAGUAAUCAAAUCCAACCUCAGAAUUCAUAUCGAUAGAAUAUUUAACUUAUAUAAAAUACGUCACUACGUAGUUCGAUCCGGAAGAUCUGCCACUCAGAUUUUAAAAUCCAUAACUUCCAGAGGUCCACAAUAUAUCUCUAGGACAACAUCCUAAAAUUUCAUUACCAUCCAACGGUCGGAUCUCCGUCAAUUUCCAAAACUAAGUGACGGUUAACAUUUUAUAUUAUGGACUUACAAUUCCAAUUCCGGAAGAUCCGUAACUCGGAUUCCCAAUCCAUAAGUUCCAAUAAUCCUCAAAUAUUACGUACUAUAACGUAUCAAAGUUUGGUGAUGAUCCAACGGUCGGAUCAUCAAUUUCACAUUUUCACCUAAAUGUGAAAACUAUAAAACGUUAUUUGAACACCUAACCAACAAUCUUCAAUAACUUUCUCAUACGGUGUUCAAUUUAGGUAUAUGAAUAUACCACAGUGAUCUACUCGACGUCACGGACGUCGACAUAUUUUUUAAAAUAAUUUUAUUUUUAUUUUUUUUUUUACUGUAGCACCUUCUUCUUCCUUGGGUCGCCGGACUGGUUUUUUCCGGCGGCCGUUUUCUGAACAGUUUUUCAAAUUGCCAUAACUUUGUCAUUUCUCAACGAAAUCAAGUGAUUCAAAAACGAAAGUUGUAGCCCUUGAAGAGACAAAGAGAAUGGUACCUUGCACAACACCUAGUUCGCCGUGGUUUGGCCGGAAACUGCCUCGAAAGCCUCGGAGGUCGCCGGAAACUGGGUAUUUUUCAAAUGAGUAUAACUUCUUCAAUACUCAACGAAAUUGAGUGAAACAAAAAGGAAAGUUGUAGUACUUGACGAGACGAAGAGAUUGAUACCUACCUCGACUCCUAACUCGCCGGGGAUUCGCCGGAAAACGCCUCGAAAGCUCCGGCCAAAUUUUGAACUUGUCGAUCUCCGUGUUCUUACGUCCAAAAACUUCCAACGAAGCACUCCGAGCUUCCUUGGGACCUCACUAAGCUCACUAUGAGCUUGGAUUGUCCU
Molecule: long non-coding RNA, 7532 nt
Filed under: Malus domestica (apple)
Lineage: Eukaryota; Viridiplantae; Streptophyta; Magnoliopsida; Rosales; Rosaceae
Description: long non-coding RNA (MDOM_LNC014392)
Source: RNAcentral